CUAAUCUUAUUGCUACUUUGUUUACAUUGUUUUUAAUUUGUUUUAAUUAUUUCAGGUGGAGUAUGCGGCCGUGGAGAACAUCAUUGCGCCUAUUGGUCUCGUCGUCGGCUGCGAAGUGGAAUCCUUGCGAGUGUCGGCGCUAAACUGGGACUGCAGGACAGCAUCAACAGGGCUGAAGCUGGCCGAGGUCCAGUGCAUCGACAUUCUGGAUGUGGAUUACCAAUUUCUGUGAAGGUGAAGUGGCUUCGUAUCUGUUUUUUUUUUUUUUUUUUUUGACUGGCUCAGGGCACUUUAGAGUGACCUGAAGCUUUAUUUAUUAAUGUUCUUAUUACUAUUGGCAACAUAUAACAUUAUUUAUGGAAACAUUUAACAUUUUUUUAACAUUUAGGUAUUUUUUUUUACUUUACGGUAACAUUGAUAAUAACAGACAGAAAAAUACUAGACAGUUAUCAAUUUGCUCUUGUAAACAAAAGGUAAGUUAAGAUCGGCUUGUGUUUUCUUUUUUCUGGCUUAGGCAUACAAAUUUUGUGACGCCGCUCCUGGACCCCUCAUCCGGUGCGAAACGGAGGUAUGGACGACAGGGAGACCUCCAAGCAUCGGCAACGCAAGCGCGGCAUCGCCUCGUCCCUCUUUUCCUGGCCGAAUCCAACCGAUGCAGCUCUAAGAAGAACGGCGGCGCAUAUGCUUCUUUCUGUGGAUGAUAUGAAACUCCUGGCUGAUUUUAAUAUUGUUUUAUUUUCAGGUUUAUGUUUUGUAGGUUUGGUGAUCAAGUGUCAGGAAUCCAGUUAGGUUCGAUUGGUCCAUUGGGAGGUUUGCGUUGAGUUUGGCUAAAUUAAUUUAUUUAGAGGUUUGCGUUGAAUUUGGU
This is a long non-coding RNA of Drosophila miranda, 865 nucleotides long. RefSeq lists it as uncharacterized. The transcript has 3 exons. Lineage: Eukaryota; Metazoa; Arthropoda; Insecta; Diptera; Drosophilidae. The record is from RefSeq and is a predicted model, not a curated record.